AGCGAACGCUGGCGGCAGGCCUAACACAUGCAAGUCGAACGAUCCCUUCGGGGAUAGUGGCAGACGGGUGAGUAACGCGUGGGAACGUGCCCUUUGGUUCGGAACAACACAGGGAAACUUGUGCUAAUACCGAAUGUGCCCUUCGGGGGAAAGAUUUAUCGCCAUUGGAGCGGCCCGCGUUGGAUUAGGUAGUUGGUGAGGUAAAGGCUCACCAAGCCUACGAUCCAUAGCUGGUCUGAGAGGAUGAUCAGCCAGACUGGGACUGAGACACGGCCCAGACUCCUACGGGAGGCAGCAGUGGGGAAUCUUGCGCAAUGGGCGAAAGCCUGACGCAGCCAUGCCGCGUGAAUGAUGAAGGUCUUAGGAUUGUAAAAUUCUUUCAGCAGGGACGAUAAUGACGGUACCUGCAGAAGAAGCCCCGGCUAACUUCGUGCCAGCCGCCGCCGUAA
RNAcentral lists this ribosomal RNA (449 nucleotides) under uncultured bacterium. RNAcentral's name for it is "partial 16S ribosomal RNA". It matches the Rfam family "Bacterial small subunit ribosomal RNA", at positions 29 to 523 of the family's 1533-position model. The record is from RNAcentral.